RNAcentral lists this transfer RNA (72 nucleotides) under Chrysemys picta bellii (western painted turtle). RNAcentral describes it as "tRNA-Gln (TTG) (tRNA-Gln-TTG-7-1)". It matches the Rfam family "tRNA". Rfam says of the family: Transfer RNA (tRNA) molecules are approximately 80 nucleotides in length. Their secondary structure includes four short double-helical elements and three loops (D, anti-codon, and T loops). Further hydrogen bonds mediate the characteristic L-shaped molecular structure. tRNAs have two regions of fundamental functional importance: the anti-codon, which is responsible for specific mRNA codon recognition, and the 3' end, to which the tRNAs corresponding amino acid is attached (by aminoacyl-tRNA synthetases). tRNAs cope with the degeneracy of the genetic code in two manners: having more than one tRNA (with a specific anti-codon) for a particular amino acid; and 'wobble' base-pairing, i.e. permitting non-standard base-pairing at the 3rd anti-codon position. Lineage: Eukaryota; Metazoa; Chordata; Testudines; Emydidae. The record is from Rfam by way of RNAcentral.
GGUCCCAUGGUGUAAUGGUCAGCACACAGGACUUUGAAUCCUGGAAUCUGAGUUUAAACCUCAGUAGGAUCU